AUGUCUAUGGGGUUUGAGUUUGCGAUAUAUUGUUCUUCCUGUCUUUUGUGUUAUAGGAACACCGCGGAACCCUGGGAGAUUUUCCGGGUUUAAAAUUUUGUCCCAAAACACAACUUCACGCCAUAAGGUUUUUUAAGGGUGUCCCGUGCCAAAAGGGGGGCCCUUUUGGUGAAGAACAUUUCGGCAAGCCCCGGUUGGGGUUUAUAGGUAAAAUUUGGGCCCCUUAUAUUCCCAAACAUUGGUUCAGGUUCCCUGUCGGGGAAGCCUUGGAGGGCCUAUUUUGGCCGCAAACCGGACCUCCAACCACCGGUCCUAAAUUUCAGGGCGGAGGUUAGCAGUUUGGGCAUCUUUCGCCAAUGGACGGAAAGUUUGAAUGAAGCAACGGCGGGGUGAGGGAAGGAAGGGUUUCCGGUUUGUAAAACUCUGUUGUUAGAGAAGAACAGCCGUGAGAGCAACUGCUCACGGUAUGACGGUAUCUAACCAGAAAGUCACGGCUAACUACGUGCCAGCAGCCGCGGUAAUACGUAGGUGGCAAACGUUGUCCGGAUUUAUUGGGCGUAAAGGGAGCGCAGGCGGUUUUAUUAAGUCUGAUGUGAAAGCCUUUGGGCUUAACCGGAGAAGUGCAUCGGAAACUGAUAAACUUGAGUGCAGAAAAGGAUAGUGGAACUUCAUGUGUAGCGGUGAAAUGCGUAGAUAUAUGAAGGAACACCAGUGGCGAAGGCGGCUAUCUGGUCUGUAACUGACGCUGAGGCUCGAAAGCAUGGGUAGCAAACAGGAUUAGAUACCCUGGUAGUCCAUGCCGUAAACGAUGAAUGCUAGGUGUUGGAAGGUUUCCGCCUUUCAGUGCCGCAGCUAACGCAUUAAGCAUUCCGCCUGGGGAGUACGACCGCAAGGUUGAAACUCAAAGGAAUUGACGGGGACCCGCACAAGCGGUGGAGCAUGUGGUUUAAUUCGAUGCUACGCGAAGAACCUUACCAGGACUUGACAUCUUCUGCCAAUCUAAGAGAUUAGACGUUCCCUUCGGGGACAGAAUGACAGGUGGUGCAUGGUUGUCGUCAGCUCGUGUCGUGAGAUGUUGGGUUAAGUCCCGCAACGAGCGCAACCCUUGUCUUUAGUUGCCAGCAUUAAGUUGGGCACUCUAGAGAGACUGCCGGUGAUAAACCGGAGGAAGGUGGGGAUGACGUCAAAUCAUCAUGCCCCUUAUGUCCUGGGCUACACACGUGCUACAAUGGGCGAUACAACGAGUUGCGAAACCGCGAGGUCAAGCUAAUCUCUUAAAGUCGUUCUCAGUUCGGAUUGCAGUCUGCAACUCGACUGCAUGAAGUUGGAAUCGCUAGUAAUCGUGGAUCAGCAUGCCACGGUGAAUACGUUCCCGGGUCUUGUACACACCGCCCGUCACACCAUGAGAGUUUGUAACACCCAAAGUCGGUUGGAUAACCUUUUUAGGAGUCCGCCGCCUAAGGUGGGACAGAUGAUUAGGGUGAAGU
RNAcentral lists this ribosomal RNA (1487 nucleotides) under Fructilactobacillus sanfranciscensis. Its description in RNAcentral is "bacterial SSU rRNA". The stretch from base 309 to 1487 matches the Rfam family "Bacterial small subunit ribosomal RNA". Lineage: Bacteria; Bacillati; Bacillota; Bacilli; Lactobacillales; Lactobacillaceae. The record is from RNAcentral.